Molecule: ribosomal RNA, 253 nt
Filed under: uncultured bacterium
Lineage: Bacteria
Description: partial 16S ribosomal RNA
Rfam family: Bacterial small subunit ribosomal RNA
Source: RNAcentral
UACGUAGGGGGCAAGCGUUGUCCGGAAUCAUUGGGCGUAAAGCGCGUGUAGGCGGCCGAGUGUGUGAGGCGUGAAAGCCCGGGGCUUAACCCCGGAAUUGCACCUCAAACUACACGGCUAGAGCAUUGGAGAGGGUAGCAGAAUUCAUGGUGUAGCAGUGAAAUGCGUAGAUAUCAUGAGGAAUACCAGAGGCGAAGGCGGCUACCUGGACAAUUGCUGACGCUCAGGCACGAAAGCGUGGGGAGCAAAAGGG